UAGCAAUGGUGACCCGACGUCUGGAUAGGUCGAAUGAUGGUGAAGCAACAUUCAAGAACCCAUUGAUGUAUGGUUACCGUAUAAUUUAUCCCUUUGACCUUAAUGCUCAAGGAUGAUCUAAGAUUUAACAAUCAAUCCUAGAUAAGUCAUCCAUAUGGUAUUUCAAUCUUUUAAAUCCAUCACAUAGAUUAUCCAGAUCCAGAUUUUGCUAAAUUGAAAUAUAUGGAUACAUUAGCUCCUACUAAUUCGAAG
This 252-nucleotide long non-coding RNA is filed under the name Elaeis guineensis (African oil palm). Its description in RNAcentral is "long non-coding RNA (EGUI_LNC054854)". Lineage: Eukaryota; Viridiplantae; Streptophyta; Magnoliopsida; Arecales; Arecaceae. The record is from RNAcentral.